GCUCAGUAUCGCCCGUAAGCAAAAGGCGAGACCGCAAAUUCGCCUCUUAAGCAGCUUCGAGUCGCAGAGCCUCUGGGAAACGUAGUUCACGCCAGAAAAGCAGCCAAUCGGUCAGAAUGCAAGCGAACUGAUUCUUUUCAGCUGGUCCUGACCCCCGUGACCCAACCCGCCGGGCCCGGGAGAUUUCUGGAGGUUCUAGUUCGCCCUCGGAAUGCAGAGGGGAUGACACACUUUUCAUCUUUGUCCGUCGGGUGAGUCCAGGCCUCGGUCCGCGCAGCGCUCAGGGUAAGAGUGAAGGUGGGACCUAAUCUUCUCUUUCUGGACUGUAUUGAAGAGGCGACAGAGAUGAAAUCACGAUCUUGAAGAGUGUGUGUGCGCGCGUGCGUCUCUGCACUCAGAUAUAAAAUGGAGAAAUGAUACUCUACUACCCAGUGGAGCUGCUGUGAAGACCAUCAGUUCUCAAAGUGUGGCCCCUGGCACAGCAGCAACCUGGGAACCUGUUAGAAAUUCAAAUUCUCAGCCCCCAUCAUGCCAGAUUUACUGAAUCAGGAACUCUUGAAAUGGGACCCAGCAAUAAACCCUCUAGAUGAUUCUAAUGUACACUGAAGUUUAAAAAUUUAGAUGAAAACACUGGGAAAAAAAAAAAAGUAGAGCUAAAUAAAUGCCAGGUUAUGUUGUUAUCACUGCCUUGUAUGACAAUAUGGUGUUUGUUAUGCACCAGUGGUAAAUAGUAAAAUUACAAAGUCAGGUUUUUCAUAAAAUAACUUGUGUUGGCUCUUUUAAACACAGAACACCUUAAACGUGAAAUACACAUAUGCAGUAUGUAAGCAAGGAAAGCAGAGAUAGUAUUGCUUAAAUGACAGAUAUAACUAAGGAAUACCUGAAACAGUUGAUGAAAUGUUAUCACUGAAAAUUAGGAUACUUGAGAUUUUGUUGGGCUUGGGGCAAGGAUAAAGAUGUUUAAUGGUCCCUCACAUGGUUUGGGUAUGAUAUAAGGUAGCUAUUAAUAUGUAUCCUGGCAACGUGGGCAAUGUGGGAGUAACCACAAUUUAUCUUAUAAAUCUUGACUAAUAAUGAUUCAGGUUUCCAAUAAUCUGGACACUUGUAUCUAUUAGGAUAGAGUAAGACAGAUGUACUUAUUAGGAAGUUCAGGUCAUCUGCCUCCUGACAUAUUAAAAUGACGAUUCUGGGGCUUCCCUGGUGGCGCAGUUGUUGAGAGUCCGCCUGCCGAUUCAGGGGACACGGGUUCGUGCCCCGUUCCGGGAAGAUCCCACAUGCCGCGGAGCGGCUGGGCCCGUGAGCCAUGGCCGCUAAGCCUGCGCGUCCGGAGCCUGUGCUCCGCAACGGGAAGAGGCCACAACAGUGAGAGGCCCGCGUACCGCAAAAAAAAAAAAAAAAAGAAAGAAAUAAUCAAAACCUUUACUUUUAAUGCAUAUGCUGUUCCCAUGGAAAUUUACAGGACAGGAAAAUGGUCAUUCCAAAGUCAGUUUAUCUGAAAAACACAAAUUAUAUGAAGUCUGUGUGUGUAUCCUUAUUUAAACUAAAUGUUCUUAAAAAUUCCUAAGCUCAAAUGAUGUCACAAAAGUGUUAGAAACGUGUAGACGAUAUAGUGUACACUAUAUCAUGUAAAAAUAAAAAACAGAUUUGGAUUAUGCUGUCAUUUUUAAUUUUAAUAAAAUAGAUAAUUUCAUACUACAUAGAGAGCAAGUCCAUCCACUCAUCGAUAAAAUUUUAGAAAUACUUUCUAUAAAAAGUUUAGUAGCUGAUUGCAAAUGAAUCCAUUAGAACAUGAUUUCUAUAGGUACAGUGUUCCCAUCCUCACCCCCAUUCUUGUUAAUUUUGAGAAAAUUUAAAAAUACAGAAAAGUACAAAAAAUAAGACAAGAUAUCCAUAUACCACAAUCCAGAAUUAACCAGUAUUUCAAUAUAUUUUCUUGCAGUCUUUUUUUUUUUUAAAGAGAAAUGGACGUUUAUAUAUAAAACUGAAGUCCCCUCUAACCAAUCCAAUCCCCCCCCUCUCCCACACGCAUUCCCUUCCCUUCUCCACUCUUCACAGGCAACCACUAUCAAGAGUUUGGUCUGUAUCCUUCCAAACCAUUUCAAAAACAUUUAAAAAACAUACAUACAUAUAUGUAUCCAUUACCAAUAUAUAGCACUGAAAUUUUGAGGGAAGUUUUAUUCAAAUUUACAAAACUGUCAUCAUAAUAUAUGUCAUUCUGCAACUUUAUCUUUCCCCCUCAACGUGAUUUUUGAGAUCUUUCUCUGUAAUACAUAUAGAUCUCAUUUGUUACAUUUUACAGAUAUACAGUAUUCCAUCAUAAGUACUUUCCAUUUUGUUGCUGAUGGGCAUUUAAGUUGUUUCCAAUUUAUGACUACUACGUAUCAUGCCACAGUAAAUAGCCUGGUACACAUUUCCUGAGCAUACAAACUCAGACUAGAAUUGCUAGGUGUUUUUCAAUUUGCUAUAAGGAAUGUUUCCCAACUCCCAAGGUCAUAACCAUUUUAGUAUAUAGCUUUUUCAUAUUACUAUUUUUAACCUAACCCCCCUGGAUCUUACCUUUGUGUAUAGUUCGUGUUUUUUUUUUUUUUUUUUUUU
This is a long non-coding RNA of Orcinus orca (killer whale), 2595 nucleotides long. RefSeq lists it as uncharacterized. The transcript has 2 exons. Lineage: Eukaryota; Metazoa; Chordata; Mammalia; Artiodactyla; Delphinidae. The record is from RefSeq and is a predicted model, not a curated record.